CCUACGGGAGGCAGCAGUGAGGAAUAUUGGUCAAUGGACGAGAGUCUGAACCAGCCAAGUAGCGUGAAGGAUGACUGCCCUAUGGGUUGUAAACUUCUUUUAUAUGGGAAUAAAAUGUUCCACGUGUGGGAUUUUGUAUGUACCAUAUGAAUAAGGAUCGGCUAACUCCGUGCCAGCAGCCGCGGUAAUACGGAGGAUCCGAGCGUUAUCCGGAUUUAUUGGGUUUAAAGGGAGCGUAGGUGGGUUGUUAAGUCAGUUGUGAAAGUUUGCGGCUCAACCGUAAAAUUGCAGUUGAAACUGGCAGUCUUGAGUACAGUAGAGGUAGGCGGAAUUCGUGGUGUAGCGGUGAAAUGCUUAGAUAUCACGAAGAACUCCGAUUGCGAAGGCAGUUCACUAAACUGCGACUGACACUGAGGCUCGAAAGUGUGGGUAUCAAACAGGAUUAGAUACCCUUGUAGUC
RNAcentral lists this ribosomal RNA (460 nucleotides) under uncultured bacterium. Its description in RNAcentral is "partial 16S ribosomal RNA". It matches the Rfam family "Bacterial small subunit ribosomal RNA", at positions 338 to 795 of the family's 1533-position model. The record is from RNAcentral.